CCUACGGGAGGCAGCAGUGGGGAAUAUUGCACAAUGGGGGAAACCCUGAUGCAGCGACACCGCGUGAGUGAAGAAGGAAUUCGUGAUGGAAAGCUCUAUCAGCAGGGACGAAAAUGACGGUACCUGAGUAAGAAGCCCCGGCUAACUACGUGACAGCAGCCGCGGUAAUACGUAGGGGGCAAGCGUUAUCCGGAGUUACUGGGUGUAAAGGGAGCGUAGACGGCAGUGCAAGUCUGGAGGGAAAGGCGGGGGCUCCACACCCGGACUGCGCUUGAAACUGUACGGCUGGAGUGAAGGAGAGGUAAGUGGAAUUCGUAGUGUAGCGGUGACAUGCGUAGAUAUUACGAGGAACCCCAGUGGCGAAGGCGGCGUACUGGCCUGUAACUGACGUUGAGGCUCGAAAGCGUGGGGAGCAAACAGGAUUAGAUACCCCAGUAGUC
This 440-nucleotide ribosomal RNA is filed under the name uncultured bacterium. Its description in RNAcentral is "partial 16S ribosomal RNA". It matches the Rfam family "Bacterial small subunit ribosomal RNA", at positions 338 to 795 of the family's 1533-position model. The record is from RNAcentral.